UACGGAAGGUAGCAGUGGGGAAUAUUGCACAAUGGGCGCAAGCCUGAUGCAGCCAUGCCGCGUGUAUGAAGAAGGCCUUCGGGUUGUAAAGUACUUUCAGUCGUGAGGAAGGUGUUAAGGUUAAUAACCUUAGCAAUUGACGUUAGCGACAGAAGAAGCACCGGCUAACUCCGUGCCAGCAGCCGCGGUAAUACGGAGGGUGCGAGCGUUAAUCGGAAUUACUGGGCGUAAAGGGCACGCAGGCGGUUAAUUAAGUUGGAUGUGAAAUCCCCGGGCUUAACCUGGGAAUGGCAUUCAAGACUGGUUAGCUAGAGUCUUGUAGAGGGGGUAGAAUUCCAUGUGUAGCGGUGAAAUGCGUAGAGAUGUGGAGGAAUACCGGUGGCGAAGGCGGCCCCUGGACAAAGGCUGACGCUCAUGUGCGAAAGCGUGGGGAGCAAAC
Molecule: ribosomal RNA, 439 nt
Filed under: uncultured bacterium
Lineage: Bacteria
Description: bacterial SSU rRNA
Rfam family: Bacterial small subunit ribosomal RNA
Source: RNAcentral